UACGUAGGUGGCAAGCGUUGUCCGGAAUUAUUGGGCGUAAAGCGCGCGCAGGCGGUCCUUUAAGUCUAAUGUGAAAGCCCACGGCUCAACCGUGGGGGGUCAUUGGAAACUGGGGGACUUGAGUACAGAAGAGAAGAGUGGAAUUCCACGUGUAGCGGUGAAAUGCGUAGAGAUGUGGAGGAACACCUGCGGCGAAGGCGGGUUGCUGGGCUGACACUGACGCUGAUGCGCGAAAGCGUGGGGAGCAAACAGG
Molecule: ribosomal RNA, 253 nt
Filed under: uncultured bacterium
Lineage: Bacteria
Description: partial 16S ribosomal RNA
Rfam family: Bacterial small subunit ribosomal RNA
Source: RNAcentral